AUGAGGAUAAAAAACAGGAAGUCGCAGCUCGUAGGUUUGCUGUCCGUUCAAUUUGUUAUCCAGCCGCUGGUAGUAGACGGGAAUCCUGGCGCCAGAUUCCUGCUGUGUCGGAAGGCCACGGGGUUGUGUGUAUGCCUGUAUGUGCCGUGCUGCAGGUGUAAUGAUGUGGCUAUCAUGGGUUCAUGUGUGGUGCUAAUUGUGUGUAUAUAUUUGCAGCAGUCUGCCAUUGCUGUUUUGACUGAGUGUUGUUGUUGUUGUUGUUGUUGUUGUUGUUGUUGUCAUCAUUAUAUGUACUUUGUUUAGUUUGUUUUGUUAUCUUGCUUUAUUGUGCAUAUUUUGUGGUACCAUGCUGAUUGGGCAAUAUUGACUAUGUGCUUGUUGAGGACUGCUGCUUGUUAAUCUCACCUUUUAUAAUUGAAUGAUUUAUUCAAUAAACAUUGCCCUGUCAACUGGAA
Solea senegalensis (Senegalese sole) is the source of this 455-nucleotide long non-coding RNA. RefSeq lists it as uncharacterized. The transcript has 2 exons. The record is from RefSeq and is a predicted model, not a curated record. Lineage: Eukaryota; Metazoa; Chordata; Actinopteri; Pleuronectiformes; Soleidae.